Molecule: ribosomal RNA, 253 nt
Filed under: uncultured bacterium
Lineage: Bacteria
Description: partial 16S ribosomal RNA
Rfam family: Bacterial small subunit ribosomal RNA
Source: RNAcentral
UACGAAGGGGGCUAGCGUUGUUCGGAAUCACUGGGAGUAAAGCGCACGUAGGCGGCGCGUUAAGCCAGGGGUGAAAUCCUGGAGCUCAACUCCAGAACUGCCUUUGAUACUGGCGUGAUCGAGUGUGGGAGAGGUUGGUGGAACUGCGAGUGUAGAGGUGAAAUUCGUAGAUAUUCGGAAGAACACCAGUGGCGAAGGCGGCCAACUGGCCCAUUACUGACGCUGAGGUGCGAAAGCGUGGGGAGCAAACAGG